UGAAGAUCUGUUUGUAUGUGGUGCAGUUAUUGCUCCUAUCACCUCUUUCCAGCUACACUCUGCAGUGCUUACUGAACGUUACCUGGGGUUGCCAUCACAAGAAGGAUCAUCCUACAUGGUGGCCUCUGUAUUAAA
Molecule: long non-coding RNA, 135 nt
Organism: Nanorana parkeri
Lineage: Eukaryota; Metazoa; Chordata; Amphibia; Anura; Dicroglossidae
Exons: 3
Source: RefSeq, a predicted model, not a curated record